UACGUAGGGGGCUAGCGUUGUCCGGAUUUAUUGGGCGUAAAGAGCUCGUAGGCGGUUUGUCGCGUCGACUGUGAAAACCCGAGGCUUAACCUCGGGCCUGCAGUCGAUACGGGCAGACUAGAGUUCGGUAGGGGAGACUGGAAUUCCUGGUGUAGCGGUGAAAUGCGCAGAUAUCAGGAGGAACACCGGUGGCGAAGGCGGGUCUCUGGGCCGAUACUGACGCUGAGGAGCGAAAGCGUGGGGAGCGAACGGG
RNAcentral lists this ribosomal RNA (253 nucleotides) under uncultured bacterium. Its description in RNAcentral is "partial 16S ribosomal RNA". It matches the Rfam family "Bacterial small subunit ribosomal RNA", at positions 524 to 776 of the family's 1533-position model. The record is from RNAcentral.